Molecule: long non-coding RNA, 254 nt
Organism: Saccostrea cuccullata (small rock oyster)
Lineage: Eukaryota; Metazoa; Mollusca; Bivalvia; Ostreida; Ostreidae
Exons: 3
Source: RefSeq, a predicted model, not a curated record
GAAAAAUGCAAAAACGAACAAAUGGUACUGAACUCCUUGAAGAGUAUGCACAAAGAAACAUUGAAGAUAUUGCAAGUGACAAUGCUACUCGGAAUGACCAAGGAAAAGGUUUUGUGAGUGAUUUCUUCAACCUCUUUAGCAGAUGAAGCACAAUUCUGCACGAAGACAUGUAAAUUAUUAUCCUUUUCUGCAUGCAUUUUUUGUUCUUGAAAAAAAAGAUAUAAAUAAAAUGUUUUUUUACAAAAUUGGUUAAA